GGAUGUGAGGGCGAUCUGGCUGCCACAUCUGUCACCCCAUUGAUCGCCAGGGUUGAUUCGGCUGAUCUGGCUGGCUAGGCAGGUGUCCCCUUCGUCCCUCACCGCUCCAUGUGCCUCCCUCCCGGAGGACCGUUCUUUGGUCAAGGGUAUACGAGUAGCUGCGCUCCCCUGCUAGAACAAACAAGCUCUCAAGGUCCAUUUGUAGGAGAACGUAGGGUAGUCAAGCUUCUAAGACUCCAGACACAUCCAAAUGAGGCGCUAAUGUGGCAGUCUGCCUUU
RNAcentral lists this small nuclear RNA (279 nucleotides) under Vulpes vulpes (red fox). RNAcentral describes it as "7SK RNA (ENSVVUG00000009193.1)". It matches the Rfam family "7SK RNA". From Rfam's summary of the family: 7SK was discovered as an abundant small nuclear RNA in the mid-70s but a possible function has only recently been suggested. Two independent studies have found that 7SK RNA binds the CDK9/cyclin T complex (known as elongation factor P-TEFb). The record is from RNAcentral. Lineage: Eukaryota; Metazoa; Chordata; Mammalia; Carnivora; Canidae.